Molecule: ribosomal RNA, 767 nt
Filed under: uncultured bacterium
Lineage: Bacteria
Description: bacterial SSU rRNA
Rfam family: Bacterial small subunit ribosomal RNA
Source: RNAcentral
GUAGCUUGCUACCUAACCUAGCGGCGGACGGGUGAGUAAUGCUUAGGAAUCUGCCUAUUAGUGGGGGACAACAUUCCGAAAGGAAUGCUAAUACCGCAUACGCCCUACGGGGGAAAGCAGGGGAUCUUCGGACCUUGCGCUAAUAGAUGAGCCUAAGUCAGAUUAGCUAGUUGGCGGGGUAAAGGCCUACCAAGGCGACGAUCUGUAGCGGGUCUGAGAGGAUGAUCCGCCACACUGGGACUGAGACACGGCCCAGACUCCUACGGGAGGCAGCAGUGGGGAAUAUUGGACAAUGGGCGCAAGCCUGAUCCAGCCAUGCCGCGUGUGUGAAGAAGGCCUCUUGGUUGUAAAGCACUUUAAGCGAGGAGGAGGCUACUUGGAUUAAUACUCUAGGAUAGUGGACGUUACUCGCAGAAUAAGCACCGGCUAACUCUGUGCCAGCAGCCGCGGUAAUACAGAGGGUGCGAGCGUUAAUCGGAUUUACUGGGCGUAAAGCGUGCGUAGGCGGCUUUUUAAGUCGGAUGUGAAAUCCCUGAGCUUAACUUAGGAAUUGCAUUCGAUACUGGGAAGCUAGAGUAUGGGAGAGGAUGGUAGAAUUCCAGGUGUAGCGGUGAAAUGCGUAGAGAUCUGGAGGAAUACCGAUGGCGAAGGCAGCCAUCUGGCCUAAUACUGACGCUGAGGUACGAAAGCAUGGGGAGCAAACAGGAUUAGAUACCCUGGUAGUCCAUGCCGUAAACGAUGUCUACUAGCCGUUGGGGCCUUUGAGG